This 58-nucleotide microRNA precursor is filed under the name Tribolium castaneum (red flour beetle). RNAcentral's name for it is "microRNA tca-mir-3851g precursor (tca-mir-3851g-3)". Lineage: Eukaryota; Metazoa; Arthropoda; Insecta; Coleoptera; Tenebrionidae. The record is from miRBase by way of RNAcentral.
UUGACAUGGGGUGGUACUGUGUAAUUUUUGACUCAUAGUACGACCCAUGUUGGCUCAG